RNAcentral lists this small nuclear RNA (107 nucleotides) under Vombatus ursinus (common wombat). Lineage: Eukaryota; Metazoa; Chordata; Mammalia; Diprotodontia; Vombatidae. The record is from RNAcentral.
GUGCUUGCUUUGGCAGCACAUAUACUAAAAUUGGAAUGAUACCGAGAAGAUUAGCAUGGCCCCUGUGCAAGGAUGACACUCAAAUGUGUGAAGUGUUCCAUAUUUUU